ACUCCUACGGGAGGCAGCAGUGAGGAAUAUUGGUCAAUGGGCGAUGGCCUGAACCAGCCAAGUAGCGUGAAGGAUGACUGCCCUAUGGGUUGUAAACUUCUUUUAUAAAGGAAUAAAGUCGGGUAUGCAUACCCGUUUGCAUGUACUUUAUGAAUAAGGAUCGGCUAA
RNAcentral lists this ribosomal RNA (168 nucleotides) under uncultured bacterium. RNAcentral describes it as "partial 16S rRNA". It matches the Rfam family "Bacterial small subunit ribosomal RNA", at positions 335 to 500 of the family's 1533-position model. The record is from RNAcentral.